GUAACAGCACUAGUCUCAUUUACAUUGCUCAUGUCUCUCUCUCGAUGUAAAGAAGAGGAGCCGUUUGUCUGUCUCAUGACCAGGUCUCUUUGAUUCUUACCUUUUUGUUUUUAUCUCCAACUUCAAAGGUGAGGUACGGAAGAGUUUUGUCUAAACCGCAGUGGAUCUCUCCUGGAGGAGAUGGUCUCCGAAGAUAACAGGCUUCACACUGAUCAACGGAAUGAUAAACCCAGUUCAUUAACAGUGCUCACAAUGAGAUGUUGCAAAACAUUGUCCGCGACAGUGUGCAACCAAGGGAGAAAUGCAUUAUCGUCACCAGGCUGCCCGUUAUGGUGCACACCUGUCACCGUCGUUACGCGCACCUGCGUGUCAUCAGACUCACCUGGACUCCAUCACCUCCUUGAUUACCUGCCCUAUACAUGUCACGCCCUUUGGUUCCUUCCGCAGGCGUUAUUGUUUCUCUUCCU
Molecule: long non-coding RNA, 467 nt
Filed under: Salmo salar (Atlantic salmon)
Lineage: Eukaryota; Metazoa; Chordata; Actinopteri; Salmoniformes; Salmonidae
Description: lncRNA (ENSSSAG00000112157.1, ENSSSAG00020081370.1, ENSSSAG00075059187.1)
Source: RNAcentral